RNAcentral lists this ribosomal RNA (412 nucleotides) under uncultured microorganism. RNAcentral's name for it is "bacterial SSU rRNA". It matches the Rfam family "Archaeal small subunit ribosomal RNA", at positions 459 to 872 of the family's 1478-position model. The record is from RNAcentral.
CAGCAGCCGCGGUAAUACCGGCACCGCGAGUGGUCGGGGUGAUUAUUGGGCCUAAAGCGCCCGUAGCCGGCCCGGCAAGUCCCUCCUUAAAGCCUCGGGCCCAACCCGAGGACGGGGGGGAUACUGCCGGGCUAGGGGGCGGGAGAGGCCGGCGGUACUCCCGGGGUAGGGGCGAAAUCCGUUAAUCCCGGGAGGACCACCAGUGGCGAAGGCGGCCGGCUGGAACGCGCCCGACGGUGAGGGGCGAAAGCCGGGGGAGCGAACCGGAUUAGAUACCCGGGUAGUCCCGGCUGUAAACGAUGCGGGCUAGCUGUGGGGCGGGCUCAGAGCCCGCCCAGUGGCGCAGGGAAGCCGUUAAGUCCGCCGCCUGGGGAGUACGGCCGCAAGGCUGAAACUUAAAGGAAUUGGCGGG